UGGCAGUCGAACGAGUUCUGAUUAUUGAAAGGUGCUUGCAUCUUGAUUUAAUUUUGAACGAGUGGCGGACGGGUGAGGAACACGUGGGUAACCUGCCCUUAAGUGGGGGAUAACAUUUGGAAACAGAUGCUAAUACCGCAUAAAUCCAAGAACCGCAUGGUUCUUGGCUGAAAGAUGGCGUAAGCUAUCGCUUUUGGAUGGACCCGCGGCGUAUUAGCUAGUUGGUGAGGUAACGGCUCACCAAGGCAAUGAUACGUAGCCGAACUGAGAGGUUGAUCGGCCACAUUGGGACUGAGACACGGCCCAAACUCCUACGGGAGGCAGCAGUAGGGAAUCUUCCACAAUGGACGCAAGUCUGAUGGAGCAACGCCGCGUGAGUGAAGAAGGCUUUCGGGUCGUAAAACUCUGUUGUUGGAGAAGAAUGGUCGGCAGAGUAACUGUUGUCGGCGUGACGGUAUCCAACCAGAAAGCCACGGCUAACUACGUGCCAGCAGCCGCGGUA
RNAcentral lists this ribosomal RNA (502 nucleotides) under Lacticaseibacillus rhamnosus. RNAcentral describes it as "bacterial SSU rRNA". It matches the Rfam family "Bacterial small subunit ribosomal RNA", at positions 56 to 522 of the family's 1533-position model. The record is from RNAcentral. Lineage: Bacteria; Bacillati; Bacillota; Bacilli; Lactobacillales; Lactobacillaceae.